This is a non-coding RNA of Pelobates cultripes (western spadefoot toad), 145 nucleotides long. The record is from the annotation of a GenBank genome assembly. NCBI's taxonomy places the organism in Eukaryota, Metazoa, Chordata, Amphibia, Anura, Pelobatidae.
ACUAGGACACAUGGGGACACAGACACUGGGAGACCUGGGGACACUGAGACACAUGGGGAUGCUGAGACACAUGUCCCCCAGCCAGUGUCCCUAGUGUCUCAGUGUCCCCAAGUCUCCCAGUAUCUGUGUCCCAUGUCUCUCAGUG